RNAcentral lists this ribosomal RNA (2908 nucleotides) under Citrobacter freundii. Its description in RNAcentral is "23S ribosomal RNA". It matches the Rfam family "Bacterial large subunit ribosomal RNA". Lineage: Bacteria; Pseudomonadati; Pseudomonadota; Gammaproteobacteria; Enterobacterales; Enterobacteriaceae. The record is from RNAcentral.
GGUUAAGCGACUAAGCGUACACGGUGGAUGCCCUGGCAGUCAGAGGCGAUGAAGGACGUGCUAAUCUGCGAUAAGCGUCGGUAAGGUGAUAUGAACCGUUAUAACCGGCGAUUUCCGAAUGGGGAAACCCAGUGUGAUUCGUCACACUAUCAUUACGUGAAUACAUAGCGUAAUGAAGCGAACCGGGGGAACUGAAACAUCUAAGUACCCCGAGGAAAAGAAAUCAACCGAGAUUCCCCCAGUAGCGGCGAGCGAACGGGGAGCAGCCCAGAGUCUGAAUCAGCUUGUGUGUUAGUGGAACGGUCUGGAAAGUCCGACGGUACAGGGUGAUAGUCCCGUACACCAAAAUGCACAGGUUGUGAACUCGAAGAGUAGGGCGGGACACGUGGUAUCCUGUCUGAAUAUGGGGGGACCAUCCUCCAAGGCUAAAUACUCCUGACUGACCGAUAGUGAACCAGUACCGUGAGGGAAAGGCGAAAAGAACCCCGGCGAGGGGAGUGAAAAAGAACCUGAAACCGUGUACGUACAAGCAGUGGGAGCAUCCUUUUGGGUGUGACUGCGUACCUUUUGUAUAAUGGGUCAGCGACUUAUAUUCUGUAGCAAGGUUAACCGUAUAGGGGAGCCGAAGGGAAACCGAGUCUUAACUGGGCGUUAAGUUGCAGGGUAUAGACCCGAAACCCGGUGAUCUAGCCAUGGGCAGGUUGAAGGUUGGGUAACACUAACUGGAGGACCGAACCGACUAAUGUUGAAAAAUUAGCGGAUGACUUGUGGCUGGGGGUGAAAGGCCAAUCAAACCGGGAGAUAGCUGGUUCUCCCCGAAAGCUAUUUAGGUAGCGCCUCGUGAACUCAUCUUCGGGGGUAGAGCACUGUUUCGGCUAGGGGGUCAUCCCGACUUACCAACCCGAUGCAAACUGCGAAUACCGAAGAAUGUUAUCACGGGAGACACACGGCGGGUGCUAACGUCCGUCGUGAAGAGGGAAACAACCCAGACCGCCAGCUAAGGUCCCAAAGUCAUGGUUAAGUGGGAAACGAUGUGGGAAGGCACAGACAGCCAGGAUGUUGGCUUAGAAGCAGCCAUCAUUUAAAGAAAGCGUAAUAGCUCACUGGUCGAGUCGGCCUGCGCGGAAGAUGUAACGGGGCUAAACCAUGCACCGAAGCUGCGGCAGCGACACUAUGUGUUGUUGGGUAGGGGAGCGUUCUGUAAGCCGUUGAAGGUGUAUCGUGAGGUAUGCUGGAGGUAUCAGAAGUGCGAAUGCUGACAUAAGUAACGAUAAUGCGGGUGAAAAACCCGCACGCCGGAAGACCAAGGGUUCCUGUCCAACGUUAAUCGGGGCAGGGUGAGUCGACCCCUAAGGCGAGGCCGAAAGGCGUAGUCGAUGGGAAACAGGUUAAUAUUCCUGUACUUGGUGUUACUGCGAAGGGGGGACGGAGAAGGCUAUGUUAGCCGGGCGACGGUUGUCCCGGUUUAAGCAUGUAGGCGGAGGUUCCAGGUAAAUCCGGUACCUUUUUAACGCUGAGGUGUGAUGACGAGGCACUACGGUGCUGAAGUAACAAAUGCCCUGCUUCCAGGAAAAGCCUCUAAGCAUCAGGUAACACGAAAUCGUACCCCAAACCGACACAGGUGGUCAGGUAGAGAAUACCAAGGCGCUUGAGAGAACUCGGGUGAAGGAACUAGGCAAAAUGGUGCCGUAACUUCGGGAGAAGGCACGCUGAUAUGUAGGUGAAGUGAUUUACUCAUGGAGCUGAAAUCAGUCGAAGAUACCAGCUGGCUGCAACUGUUUAUUAAAAACACAGCACUGUGCAAACACGAAAGUGGACGUAUACGGUGUGACGCCUGCCCGGUGCCGGAAGGUUAAUUGAUGGGGUUAUCCGUAAGGAGAAGCUCUUGAUCGAAGCCCCGGUAAACGGCGGCCGUAACUAUAACGGUCCUAAGGUAGCGAAAUUCCUUGUCGGGUAAGUUCCGACCUGCACGAAUGGCGUAAUGAUGGCCAGGCUGUCUCCACCCGAGACUCAGUGAAAUUGAACUCGCUGUGAAGAUGCAGUGUACCCGCGGCAAGACGGAAAGACCCCGUGAACCUUUACUAUAGCUUGACACUGAACACUGGUCCUUGAUGUGUAGGAUAGGUGGGAGGCUUUGAAGUGUGGACGCCAGUCUGCAUGGAGCCAUCCUUGAAAUACCACCCUUUAAUGGCUGGUGUUCUAACGUGGACCCGUAAUCCGGGUUGCGGACAGUGUCUGGUGGGUAGUUUGACUGGGGCGGUCUCCUCCUAAAGAGUAACGGAGGAGCACGAAGGUUAGCUAAUCCUGGUCGGACAUCAGGAGGUUAGUGCAAAGGCAUAAGCUAGCUUGACUGCGAGAGUGACGGCUCGAGCAGGUGCGAAAGCAGGUCUUAGUGAUCCGGUGGUUCUGAAUGGAAGGGCCAUCGCUCAACGGAUAAAAGGUACUCCGGGGAUAACAGGCUGAUACCGCCCAAGAGUUCAUAUCGACGGCGGUGUUUGGCACCUCGAUGUCGGCUCAUCACAUCCUGGGGCUGAAGUAGGUCCCAAGGGUAUGGCUGUUCGCCAUUUAAAGUGGUACGCGAGCUGGGUUUAGAACGUCGUGAGACAGUUCGGUCCCUAUCUGCCGUGGGCGCUGGAGAAUUGAGGGGGGCUGCUCCUAGUACGAGAGGACCGGAGUGGACGCAUCACUGGUGUUCGGGUUGUCAUGCCAAUGGCAUUGCCCGGUAGCUAAAUGCGGAAGAGAUAAGUGCUGAAAGCAUCUAAGCACGAAACUUGCCCCGAGAUGAGUUCUCCCUGAGACUUUAAGUCUCCUGAAGGAACGUUAAAGACGAUGACGUUGAUAGGUCGGGUGUGUAAGUGUAGCGAUACAUUGAGCUAACCGAUACUAAUGAACCGUGAGGCUUAACCUU